Molecule: ribosomal RNA, 427 nt
Filed under: uncultured bacterium
Lineage: Bacteria
Description: bacterial SSU rRNA
Rfam family: Bacterial small subunit ribosomal RNA
Source: RNAcentral
UGGGGAAUAUUGCACAAUGGGGGGAACCCUGAUGCAGCCAUGCCGCGUGUAUGAAGAAGGCCUUCGGGUUGUAAAGUACUUUCGGUAGUGAGGAAGGAGUGAUAUCUAAUAGGUGUCACUAUUGACGUUAACUACAGAAGAAGCACCGGCUAACUCCGUGCCAGCAGCCGCGGUAAUACGGAGGGUGCGAGCGUUAAUCGGAAUGACUGGGCGUAAAGGGCAUGUAGGCGGAUAGUUAAGUUAGAUGUGAAAGCCCCGGGCUCAACCUGGGAAUUGCAUUUAAAACUGGUUAUCUGGAGUAUUGUAGAGGAAGGUAGAAUUCCAUGUGUAGCGGUGAAAUGCGUAGAGAUGUGGAGGAAUACCGGUGGCGAAGGCGGCCUUCUGGACAGAUACUGACGCUGAGAUGCGAAAGCGUGGGGAGCAAACA